Molecule: ribosomal RNA, 327 nt
Filed under: uncultured eukaryote
Lineage: Eukaryota
Description: partial 18S ribosomal RNA
Rfam family: Eukaryotic small subunit ribosomal RNA
Source: RNAcentral
CCCUUAGAUGUUCUCGGCCGCACACGCGCUACACUGAAAGAGGCAACGUGUUUGCCUGAUUCGAAAGAAUUGGGUAACCCCCUAAUCUCUUUCGUGCUGGGGAUUGAGGUUUGCAAUUAUCCUUCAUGAACGAGGAAUUCCCAGUAAGUGCAAGUCAUAAGCUUGCGCUGACUACGUCCCUGCCCUUUGUACACACCGCCCGUCGCUACUACCGAUUGAAUGAUUUAGUGAGGACUUCGGACUGGGACCGAUGCGGCUUUCGGGCUGCGUCGGUAUUCUGGAAAGAUGUCCAAACUGUAUCAUUUAGAGGAAGUAAAANUCGUAACA